RNAcentral lists this ribosomal RNA (242 nucleotides) under uncultured bacterium. RNAcentral describes it as "partial 16S ribosomal RNA". It matches the Rfam family "Bacterial small subunit ribosomal RNA", at positions 1258 to 1500 of the family's 1533-position model. The record is from RNAcentral.
UGAGGCGGAGCAAAACACAAAACACAGUCUCAGUUCAGAUUGUAGGCUGAAACUCGCCUGUAUGAAGUCGGAAUUGCUAGUAAUCGCGGAUCAGCAUGCCGCGGUGAAUACGUUCCCGGGCCUUGUACACACCGCCCGUCACACCAUGAGAGUCGAUAACACCCGAAGCCUGUAGUCUAACAGCAAUGAGGACGCAGUCGAAGGUGGGAUUGAUAAUUAGGGUGAAGUCGUAACAAGGUACC